AUUUAACAAGAUGCUUUUUUA
Molecule: non-coding RNA, 21 nt
Organism: Caenorhabditis elegans
Lineage: Eukaryota; Metazoa; Nematoda; Chromadorea; Rhabditida; Rhabditidae
Source: Ensembl